AUGAAGCCCAAUUAGGGCUGACAUGGGGUUAGGCGAGGCCCCCCUUCCUCCCAGGUGUAGCCUACUCUCUCAUUCCCCAGCCCCCUGGUAAGAACAAUGGAGGGGCCUAACAGUGGAGGAGAAAAGAGGGACAGGCUAGGGGAGGAGGCAAGGGGAGGAGUGCUGGUUUAGAAGGGUUUUUAAUGGGAUGUACAGUAAAAUAAUUCAGACUUACUUGUGUUUGGUUUUUUUGUUGUUUCAGGUACUGACUGUGGGAUGGAGCUAAGCCAGCCUAGAAGGAUAGCGGGUCACUCAAAGAAAUUUAGGGAUGAAUCAACAUCCCAGCAGCACUACAGAGGAUGAAGCGGCAUGCAGCAUGUUCCAAGCCCUGGUCCCAAGUCUGUUCGCCGGACCCCACUACUUCUAGCCACCCAUGCAGCCAGUCAGGAUGUCGAGCCACCCACCAGCCAAGUCACCCGACCUCUCCCACCUUUGGGCCAGCAGAUCCCUAACCCCAGCCCAGCAUUCCUUGUCACAAAGGCAGCCACAAGCAGAAGGACCAGAGUGACCACUUCGGAUCCAGAUGCCAUUUUGGAAUGGCCAAACCCUUGAGGGAUACAAGAUGGAGGCCGAGAUGUUGAUUGGAGAGGAUGCCACCACGAGGCUUCUCGAAGCUUUACUGGAGGAAGGGGCUCCCCUGCAUGCUGGCCCAACUACAGCCCGGGAACAAAGGGAAAGGAGGCAUGGCAGCAGGAUUAGGAGGCACUGGGGCAGCAGACAUCACUCCAGGCACUGCUCUGAAUCAUUUGGCAGCACAGGCUUCGCAGUGGGAUCACGGGAGUGCUCCCCCCACGGGCAUCAGUACAGUGAAGCCGGCAACAGAGAAUUGAGAUAUAAGGACAAGAUUUGAACUGCAGCAAAGGCUUGGCACUCUCACAAUGGGAUCAAGGAUGGCAGACGGAGAGAAUAAAGGAGAUAGCAAGACAAAGGGAGUAAUGGAAUCAACAAUACAGGCCAUGUGUGACCAGAGAUUGCAAAACUACAUCAACAGGAUCAGGUGUGGACAGAAAGCAAACAGAGCACAGAGGAGCCAGUUCAUAAGGGCAAAUGGGAUUACCUGAUUAACAAGGCAACGAUGGCAUCAUAGCCAGUCACAGCAGAAGCCGAGAGAGGAGUCAGCAUCUGAGGUGCAUGGCCAAAAGGAGGCAGGGAAUACAUCAAAGGUUCCCCUAGUUACCUGCCUGCUCCCCGCACAUGCACUCUAUGGCGCCCUCUAUUGGCCUAACAACUGUCUAUGGCUGACUGGACUGUGGCCCUAUGCUGACAUCUCACUACGCCGAUUCCCCCAAGCUGAGCAACAUCAUCAUAACUGAUACCGGACAUUUUGCAACAAGUGGAAGACGCGUCUAUCUCCUUCAAGCCACAGGAUUUUCUCCCGGUAUGUUCGGACUGUCUGCUUCUUAUUAACAAGCUCCUUACUAAAAGCAUUCCUGUAGUCUAUGCUAUGAUUUAUCCCCAUAUCCUGACGCAAAGUCCUGCGGCUCUCUUUACAACACUGUGUGCCGCAUUUUUUCUUACAAGCGUUCCGCAUUCAUGUUACACAGCACAGAUGUUUUAUGAACUAUAACCACCUCACAUUUGAAGCGCUGUAUAUUAUGUUUUGACACAUUGUUUGCUCCCAAACUGGACUGACACGUUAUAUGAGGCUACAAGUGUGUAUAUAUUAUCUCCCCAUCAUUGUUACAUUGUAGUCACUUGAUUUAAUGCAUUACUCAUGCUAUUUGUACAACACUGUUUUUUCGUUAUCCUUUUUCUUUUUUUGUAAUCCCUUUGCUAUUUUUUGUCUGUCAUGUUUAUGCACAUAGCCCUCCCACGACAAUGACGCUAUUUGACGUCACCCAUUCCCGCCACUGGUGCUUUAAAAUGGUUGCUAUUGUUUGUUCUGGUCACUUUGAGAAAGGCUAGGGACCUAGUAGAAACGUUAGUCGUAUUUUUGUUGAAAUAAAACCUCUUUUUUUAACUUUAAAGGACCAGUAACAUAAAAAAAAAAUGUUUAAAAAUUCGUUAGUGCACAACAAAAAAUAA
Long non-coding RNA from Xenopus laevis (African clawed frog), 2064 nucleotides. RefSeq lists it as uncharacterized. The record is from RefSeq and is a predicted model, not a curated record. The transcript has 3 exons. Lineage: Eukaryota; Metazoa; Chordata; Amphibia; Anura; Pipidae.